RNAcentral lists this ribosomal RNA (381 nucleotides) under uncultured organism. Its description in RNAcentral is "bacterial SSU rRNA". It matches the Rfam family "Bacterial small subunit ribosomal RNA", at positions 367 to 762 of the family's 1533-position model. The record is from RNAcentral.
CGCAAUGGGCGAAAGCCUGACGGAGCGAUGUCGCGUGAUGGACGAAGUGCUUCGGUACGUAAACAUUUUUUAUGUGGGACGAAAUUCUUGACGGUACCACAUGAAUAAGGGGCUCCUAACUCUGUGCCAGCAGGAGCGGUAAUACAGAGGCCCCAAGCGUUACCCGGAAUCAUUGGGCGUAAAGGGUGUCAAAGCGGUCAUAUUAGUCUCCCGUUAAAUCUGUGGGCUCAACCCACCGGCUGCGGGGGAAACGGUAUGACUAGAGGUCGGAAGAGGUGCGUGGAACUCACGGUGUAGGGGUGAAAUCCGUUGAUAUCGUGGGGAACACCAAAGGCGAAGGCAGCGCACUGGUCCGAAUCUUCCUUUUCCACACGAAAGCCA